CUUGAAACACGGACCAAGGAGUUUAUCGUGUACGCAAGUCAUUGGGUGAAUAAAACCCAAAGGCGAAAUGAAAGUAAAGAGUAGAGUCUAUAAUUGAGAAUUUAUUCUCUUUUAUUUCUCUCUUUAGGGAAGAUGAAAAUUAAAUUUAUAGUCUAUUUUAGAUUAUUUAUUUAUAUUUUUCGCAUUCCCAGGGCGCUUGUUUCACGCUUUGCGUGUCGAUGCGCACCCAGAGCGUACACGCUGAUACCCGAAAGAUGGUGAACUAUGCCUGGCCAGGACGAAGCCAGGGGAAACCCUGGUGGAGGUCCGCAGCGAUUCUGACGUGCAAAUCGAUCGUCGGAGCUGGGUAUAGGGGCGAAAGACCAAUCGAACCAUCUAGUAGCUGGUUCCCUCUGAAGUUUCCCUCAGGAUA
RNAcentral lists this ribosomal RNA (412 nucleotides) under Zelus tetracanthus. RNAcentral's name for it is "eukaryotic LSU rRNA". It matches the Rfam family "Eukaryotic large subunit ribosomal RNA", at positions 653 to 980 of the family's 3401-position model. The record is from RNAcentral. Lineage: Eukaryota; Metazoa; Arthropoda; Insecta; Hemiptera; Reduviidae.